This 195-nucleotide ribosomal RNA is filed under the name Triticum aestivum (bread wheat). RNAcentral describes it as "partial small subunit ribosomal RNA". Lineage: Eukaryota; Viridiplantae; Streptophyta; Magnoliopsida; Poales; Poaceae. The record is from RNAcentral.
AUGACGCUGGAGGUCUGGGUGAGGGUAGGAAGGGAAGGGCACAACACGGAUGCGAAACAUAACAUUAGAGGAAGAGAACAUGUUGGGAUGAGGGGUGGGGCGAUUUUGGAGUAUUUGGGGUGGGUUGUGAGUGUCGUGUCUGAGAGGUGUUUGUACGACCCCAAUGCUAGAUGCAUCCGUUUGAGAGACAGUUAA